AGCAGCCGCGGUAAUUCCAGCUCCAAUAGCGUAUAUUAAAGUUGUUGCAGUUAAAAAGCUCGUAGUUGAAUUUCGGGGUUCUACCGUUGGUCGGGCUAACCAGUCUGUACUAGCGUGUAGAAUUUCUACCUUCUGGGGAACCAUCAUGUUAUUAAUUUAGCGUGGUGGGAAACCAGGACCUUUACCUUGAAAAAAUUAGAGUGUUCAAAGCAGGCUUACGUCUGGAUACAUUAGCAUGGAAUAAUAGAAUAGGACGGUGGUCCUGUUUUGUUGGUUUCUGAAUCACCGUAAUGAUUAAUAGGGAUAGUUGGGGGCAUUAGUAUUCAAUUGUCAGAGGUGAAAUUCUUGGAUUUAUUGAAGACUAACUUCUGCGAAAGCAUUUGCCAAGGAUGUUUUCAUUAAAUCAAGUAACGAAAGUUAGGGGAUCGAAGACGAUCAGAUACCGUCGUAGGUCUUAAACCAUAAACUAUGCCGAACUAGGGAUCGGACGAUGUAAAUUUUAUGACUCGUUCGCGCUUAC
This 520-nucleotide ribosomal RNA is filed under the name uncultured Scutellospora. RNAcentral's name for it is "SSU rRNA". It matches the Rfam family "Eukaryotic small subunit ribosomal RNA", at positions 569 to 1089 of the family's 1831-position model. The record is from RNAcentral. Lineage: Eukaryota; Fungi; Glomeromycota; Glomeromycetes; Diversisporales; Gigasporaceae.